CCAGCCCAACUAUCAUACACUGGCCUUCCAUAAGCUUCAUAACAUGGGGGUGCUGGCCUAGCAUUGUCAUGAUAACACGGGCCUCCACUAAUCCCAUGGUAGCAUUCAGCACAACAUGUCCUUGGGUGGACUGGUUCCGGAGCUUUAGGUGGUGGUGGUCGUGUCGGGUUUGGAGCUGGGAUUGGGGCGGGUGCUGGCCUCCUAUAGUCAUGAUAACACGGGCCUCCACUAAUCCCAUGGUAGCAUUCAUCACAACAUGUCCUUGGGUGGACUGGUUCCGGAGCUUUAGGUGGUGGUGCCGGGUUUGGAGCUGGGAUUAGGAAGGGUGCUGGCCUCCUAUGGUCAUGAUAACAUGGGCCUCCACUAAUCCCAUGGUAGCAUUCAGCACAACAUGUCCUUCGGUGGACUGGUGCCGGUUUCUCUGGUUCUUUGGGUUUCUCUGGUUCUUUGGGUUUCUCCGGUUCUUUGGGUUUCUCUGGUUCUUUGGGCUUCUCCGGUUCUUUGGGAUUCUCCGGUUGCUUAGGCUUUUCAGGUUCUUUCGGCUUCUCCGGUUCUUUAGGUUUAGAUGGUGGUGCUUUGGGUUUCUCUGGAACCUUGAUCUCAAUGCUCUGGACAGCUUCACCUCCUUUACAGAUUAUCUUUUCCUUGAUCUUUUCAGGACUGCAACAUACCACAGUGAUG
Molecule: long non-coding RNA, 681 nt
Filed under: Populus trichocarpa (black cottonwood)
Lineage: Eukaryota; Viridiplantae; Streptophyta; Magnoliopsida; Malpighiales; Salicaceae
Description: long non-coding RNA (PTRI_LNC001646)
Source: RNAcentral